RNAcentral lists this ribosomal RNA (493 nucleotides) under uncultured bacterium. Its description in RNAcentral is "partial 16S ribosomal RNA". It matches the Rfam family "Bacterial small subunit ribosomal RNA", at positions 30 to 523 of the family's 1533-position model. The record is from RNAcentral.
AUUGAACGCUGGCGGCAUGCUUUACACAUGCAAGUCGAACGGUAACAGGUUAAGCUGACGAGUGGCGAACGGGUGAGUAAUGCAUCGGAACGUGCCCGGUCGUGGGGGAUAACACUUCGAAAGAAGUGCUAAUACCGCAUACGAUCUAAGGAUGAAAGCGGGGGACCGUAAGGCCUCGCGCGAUUGGAGCGGCCGAUGUCGGAUUAGGUAGUUGGUGGGGUAAAGGCUCACCAAGCCGACGAUCUGUAGCUGGUCUGAGAGGACGACCAGCCACACUGGGACUGAGACACGGCCCAGACUCCUACGGGAGGCAGCAAUGGGGAAUUUUGGACAAUGGGCGCAAGCCUGAUCCAGCAAUGCCGCGUGCAGGAAGAGGGCCUUCGGGUUGUAAACUGCUUUUGUACGGAGCGAAAAGGCUCUCUCUAAUACAGGGGGCUGAUGACGGUACCGUAAGAAUAAGCACCGGCUAACUACGUGCCAGCCGCCGCAGUAA